GAAUCACCUAUGAGACAAGCUUCUGACUAUGAAAGAUGGUCUAGCUAGAGCCACCAGCCAGCUUCCUCAAGAGCCUGUCACCUUCCCUGCCAUGAUGGACCGUAUCACUGAACUACGAGCCAAUCCUUGAGCUGCUUCAGUUAGGAUAUUUUGUCAAAGUCACACCAAAAAGAACAAUACAAGAUGCUGAGCAUGAGAAAACAGAACAAAAAGAUAGAGCAGGGAGCUCUGUCUCAAUGUAAACAGCGUGGCCUUGAUUUAGCAAUAAACAACACCUGGGAAUUA
Peromyscus eremicus (cactus mouse) is the source of this 285-nucleotide long non-coding RNA. RefSeq lists it as uncharacterized. The transcript is spliced from 2 exons. The record is from RefSeq and is a predicted model, not a curated record. Lineage: Eukaryota; Metazoa; Chordata; Mammalia; Rodentia; Cricetidae.